Molecule: ribosomal RNA, 253 nt
Filed under: uncultured bacterium
Lineage: Bacteria
Description: partial 16S ribosomal RNA
Rfam family: Bacterial small subunit ribosomal RNA
Source: RNAcentral
UACGAAGGGGGCUAGCGUUGCUCGGAAUCACUGGGCGUAAAGCGCACGUAGGCGGCUUUCUAAGUCAGGGGUGAAAUCCUGGAGCUCAACUCCAGAACUGCCUUUGAUACUGGAGAGCUUGAGUCCGGAAGAGGUGAGUGGAACUCCGAGUGUAGAGGUGAAAUUCGUAGAUAUUCGGAAGAACACCAGUGGCGAAGGCGGCUCACUGGUCCGGUACUGACGCUGAGGCGCGAAAGCUAGGGGAGCAAACGGG